This 839-nucleotide ribosomal RNA is filed under the name Globicatella sulfidifaciens. RNAcentral's name for it is "partial 23S ribosomal RNA". It matches the Rfam family "Bacterial large subunit ribosomal RNA", at positions 698 to 1536 of the family's 2925-position model. Lineage: Bacteria; Bacillati; Bacillota; Bacilli; Lactobacillales; Aerococcaceae. The record is from RNAcentral.
AGUAUGUUGUUGUCGACCCGAAACCAAGUGACCUACCCAUGAGCAGGUUGAAGGUGUGGUAAGACACACUGGAGGACCGAACCAGGACACGUUGAAAAGUGUUUGGAUGACUUGUGGGUAGCGGAGAAAUUCCAAUCGAACUUGGAGAUAGCUGGUUCUCUCCGAAAUAUAUUUAGGUAUAGCCUCAGAGUAAGAGUGAUGGAGGUAGAGCACUGUUUGAACGAGGGGGACGCAAGUUUUACCGAAUUCAGAUAAACUCCGAAUGCCAAGUACUCAUCUCUGGGAGUCAGACUGCGAGUGAUAAGAUCCGUAGUCGAAAGGGAAACAGCCCAGCCCACCAGCUAAGGUCCCCAAGUAAUUGUUAAGUGGAAAAGGAUGUGGAGUUGCACAGACAGCUAGGAUGUUGGCUUAGAAGCAGCCAUCAUUUAAAGAGUGCGUAAUAGCUCACUAGUCGAGUGAUUCUGCGCCGAAAAUGUACCGGGGCUAAACAAUACACCGAAGCUGUGGAUUCUAGUUUAAGACUAGAGUGGUAGGAGAGCGUUCUAUAUGCGGGGAAGGCAUACCGUGAGGAGUGUUGGAGCGUAUAGAAGUGAGAAUGCCGGUAUGAGUAGCGCAAGACGGGUGAGAAUCCCGUCCACCGAUAGACUAAGGUUUCCAGGGGAAGGCUCGUCCGCCCUGGGUUAGUCGGGACCUAAGCCCAAGCCGAUAGGCGUAAGCGAUGGACAACAGGUAGAGAUUCCUGUACUUGAUGUUAUCGAUUGAGUGAAGGAGGGACACAGGAGGUGACUCCACGCAUCCGGAUGGAAGAGGAUGUGCAAGCAGUAAGUUUUAGUAAGAGU